RNAcentral lists this ribosomal RNA (450 nucleotides) under uncultured bacterium. Its description in RNAcentral is "partial 16S ribosomal RNA". It matches the Rfam family "Bacterial small subunit ribosomal RNA", at positions 354 to 796 of the family's 1533-position model. The record is from RNAcentral.
GUGGGGAAUAUUCCGCAAUGGACGAAAGUCUGACGGAGCAACGCCGCGUGAGUGAUGAAGGUUUUCGGACUGUAAAGCUCUGUUGUUUAGGACGAAAGUGCCUGUUGCGAACAGUUACAGGUAUUGACGGUACUAAACGAGGAAGCCACGGCUAACUACGUGCCAGCAGCCGCGGUAAUACGUAGGUGGCAAGCGUUGUCCGGAAUUAUUGGGCGUAAAGAGCAUGUAGGCGGAGAUUUAAGUCUGUUGUGAAAAUGCGGGGCUCAACCCCGUAUUGCGAUGGAAACUGAAUUUCUUGAGUGCAGGAGAGGAAAGGGGAAUUCCCAGUGUAGCGGUGAAAUGCGUAGAUAUUGGGAGGAACACCAGUGGCGAAGGCGCCUUUCUGGACUGUGUCUGACGCUGAGAUGCGAAAGCCAGGGUAGCGAACGGGAUUAGAAACCCGUGUAGUCC